UGCGAGUUCGGACCAAAACAACGCCAGAAGCGUUCGUACACUGUUUAGUUUCGCCGGUACUCUUCUGUCAGAUCAUAUUGUAUUAUCGGCCGGCGUGCGCGGGAGUCUAUUUUCGAUCGCUUUUAUUUUUCAUUCAAUUAAAUUAAAUAAAACAAUGGAUUCUAACAAUAAGGACAAGUCUAAAAAUCGCGCUGCAGCUUCGAAUAUCAGCUACAAUCCGUGGAAUCUCUUAUUCAGUCCGAGAAAUCGUACUGAAAGUGAAAACAGCGUUAAUUCCAACACAUCAACAACAUCAGCUUCCCAGUUCGGGGGACUGCAAAGGCAGACAAGCAAAACCAAUGAAGAAUAUUUGUGGAUGAUGUGGCGUUCGUAAUCGUACGCUCAAGGAAGGCUUAAGCAAUGGACGACUGGCAGAUGGAACAUAGACUAUUUUAGUGGUUACACUUACGUUAUAUUGCAGUAUAAUGAACUGUUUGGAAACACGUAUGAAACACAGUUUUAGAGAUGUUGGAACAGGUUGCCUUUCUACCGACGUGGUUUCUCAUGGCGUGGAUAGGUGCUUGCGUUCUCUUCAGCCCUUUUGCAAUAUUCUUCGUGAUAUGCCUGCCACAGUUACCCCUUCUAGUAGUUAGGAGAGCCUGCCAUAUUCCAUUCGAAUACAUAUGAUGGGAACAUUAAUGUUAUAAUAAGUAUCCAUAAUAUAUGCUUAGAGAUGUUUAUUUUUUGUAAUUUUUCAUGUGAUAGGUAUUUGAUAAGUUUUGUAUAAAGUGUACAUAAUUUAUAAUGAAUAAACAUAUUAAUUGUAUCUGUUA
Molecule: long non-coding RNA, 812 nt
Organism: Manduca sexta (tobacco hornworm)
Lineage: Eukaryota; Metazoa; Arthropoda; Insecta; Lepidoptera; Sphingidae
Exons: 3
Source: RefSeq, a predicted model, not a curated record